CAGAGUUGGUAAUGGAGCCCCAGC
RNAcentral lists this microRNA (24 nucleotides) under Equus caballus (horse). RNAcentral describes it as "eca-miR-9062". The record is from miRBase by way of RNAcentral. Lineage: Eukaryota; Metazoa; Chordata; Mammalia; Perissodactyla; Equidae.